AACCGUCUUGCUGCGCUGGUCCAUCUCAGUUAAACGACGAACUGCGAUGAGGAAACAAGGUAUGCUGCUUGACCACGCUGUCAACAAGUACUUGUUUUUAAAAGCAGACAGUUUAAGUGUCUACCCACCUUUGUAUCUAUAGUCAUCUAAUUAAUUGUUUUCUGCUACACAACAAUUAUUUCAUUAAUCCGCUAAUGGUUUCUCCUCUUUAGCCAUCGUCGAUUUACCUUUCAGCUUUUGCCUGGUCAGGUCAUUCACUUCGAGGAAUGAUUGGUUUAUGAAACUUCGGAACUUCGCUUCGUAAAUUAGCAUCGAUAAAGCAGCUUGGUAAUUUAUGAAACACCAAUGAAGGUGAUUUUGGAGAAAAGAAAAAUAAGUUUCUGACCCACUCUAAAUGAACGUACGAAGGAGUUCACUAGAUCAAUUCUUCUUCUGUCUGAUUUUGGAUAAAAAGGCUUUCUCUGAAAGCAGGUCUCCAUCUGAACGCAUUUGAUCGUCUGCUCAAAAGGAGAGUGAACACCUACACUCGACGUUUCCAUCAACAAGCCAACCAACCCCUAUAACACAGACUAAAAUGGCGUGUGGAGUCAGACAUAAAAAUUCUUUUUAUUACUUUUUAGUUCCUGUUAUACUUGCCUUGGUGCUUCUUUCAUCGACAGUGGUUAGCGGGAGCUUCUGUCAAACACGUUGCACGGGUGGAAGCAGGAAGAGCGAGCUAUGUUUCUACUGUCGAAGAAAUCCGGCUGGUAAAAGAUCAGGAAGCGGAGGUAGUACAAUAAAGGAAGAUGUAACUGUAAAUGAG
Molecule: long non-coding RNA, 802 nt
Organism: Lytechinus variegatus (green sea urchin)
Lineage: Eukaryota; Metazoa; Echinodermata; Echinoidea; Temnopleuroida; Toxopneustidae
Exons: 3
Source: RefSeq, a predicted model, not a curated record